GGCCUCGUGGCCCAAUGGCAAGGCGUCUGACUACGAGACUGUUUAUAGUAAUCAGGAGAUUCUGGGUUCGACCCCCAGCGAGGUCA
This is a non-coding RNA of Poronia punctata, 86 nucleotides long. The record is from the annotation of a GenBank genome assembly. Lineage: Eukaryota; Fungi; Ascomycota; Sordariomycetes; Xylariales; Xylariaceae.